GGAAUAUUGCACAAUGGGCGAAAGCCUGAUGCAGCGACGCCGCGUGAGUGAAGAAGUAUUUCGGUAUGUAAAGCUCUAUCAGCAGGGAAGAAAAUGACGGUACCUGACUAAGAAGCCCCGGCUAACUACGUGCCAGCAGCCGCGGUAAUACGUAGGGGGCAAGCGUUAUCCGGAUUUACUGGGUGUAAAGGGAGCGUAGACGGCGAAGCAAGUCUGAAGUGAACACCUAGGGCUCAACCCUGGGACUGCUUUGGACACUGUUUUGCUAGAGUGUAAGAGAGGUAAGUGGAAUUCCUAGUGUAGCGGUGAAAUGCGUAGAUAUUAGGAGAAACACCAGUGGCGAAGGCGGCUUACUGGGCGAUAACUGACGUUGAGGCUCGAAAGCGUGGGGAGCAAACA
Molecule: ribosomal RNA, 399 nt
Filed under: uncultured bacterium
Lineage: Bacteria
Description: bacterial SSU rRNA
Rfam family: Bacterial small subunit ribosomal RNA
Source: RNAcentral